This 252-nucleotide ribosomal RNA is filed under the name uncultured bacterium. RNAcentral describes it as "partial 16S ribosomal RNA". It matches the Rfam family "Bacterial small subunit ribosomal RNA", at positions 524 to 776 of the family's 1533-position model. The record is from RNAcentral.
UACGUAGGGGCAAGCGUUGUCCGGAUUUAUUGGGCGUAAAGAGCGUGUAGGCGGCCUGAAAGGUCAGCUGUGAAAACUCGAGGCUCAACCUCGAGACGUCGGUUGAAACCAUCUGGCUAGAGUCCGGAAGAGGAGUGUGGAAUUCCCGGUGUAGCGGUGAAAUGCGCAGAUAUCGGGAAGAACACCCGUGGCGAAGGCGGCACUCUGGGACGGUACUGACGCUGAGACGCGAAAGCGUGGGGAGCGAACAGG